RNAcentral lists this ribosomal RNA (507 nucleotides) under Herbaspirillum sp. 135. Its description in RNAcentral is "bacterial SSU rRNA". It matches the Rfam family "Bacterial small subunit ribosomal RNA", at positions 61 to 561 of the family's 1533-position model. Lineage: Bacteria; Pseudomonadati; Pseudomonadota; Betaproteobacteria; Burkholderiales; Oxalobacteraceae. The record is from RNAcentral.
GUCGAACGGCAGCAUAGGAGCUUGCUCCUGAUGGCGAGUGGCGAACGGGUGAGUAAUAUAUCGGAACGUGCCCUAGAGUGGGGGAUAACUAGUCGAAAGACUAGCUAAUACCGCAUACGAUCUACGGAUGAAAGUGGGGGAUCGCAAGACCUCAUGCUCCUGGAGCGGCCGAUAUCUGAUUAGCUAGUUGGUGGGGUAAAAGCUCACCAAGGCGACGAUCAGUAGCUGGUCUGAGAGGACGACCAGCCNNACUGGGACUGAGACACGGCCCAGACUCAUACGGGAGGCAGCAGUGGGGAAUUUUGGACAAUGGGGGCAACCCUGAUCCAGCAAUGCCGCGUNAGUGAAGAAGGCCUUCGGGUUGUAAAGCUCUUUUGUCAGGGAAGAAACGGUUCUGGAUAAUACCUGGAGCUAAUGACGGUACCUGAAGAAUAAGCACCGGCUAACUACGUGCCAGCAGCCGCGGUAAUACGUAGGGUGCAAGCGUUAAUCGGAAUUACUGGGCGU